CAGUCGCCGCGGGAAUACGAAGGGUGCAAGCGUUAAUCGGAAUUACUGGGCGUAAAGCGUGCGUAGGCGGUGAGUUAAGUCUGCUGUGAAAUCCCCGGGCUCAACCUGGGAAUGGCAGUGGAUACUGGCUCGCUAGAGUGUGUCAGAGGAUGGUGGAAUUCCCGGUGUAGCGGUGAAAUGCGUAGAGAUCGGAAGGAACAUCUGUGGCGAAGGCGACUAUCUGGGCCAACACCGACACUGAGGCACGAAAGCGUGGGGAGCAAACAGGAUUAGAUACCCCAGUAGUCCCUGUCUCUUAUAC
This 301-nucleotide ribosomal RNA is filed under the name uncultured bacterium. RNAcentral describes it as "partial 16S ribosomal RNA". It matches the Rfam family "Bacterial small subunit ribosomal RNA", at positions 509 to 807 of the family's 1533-position model. The record is from RNAcentral.